GCCUUGCCAGCCCGCUCAAGAAACUUAAAGGAAGUUGACGGGGGCCCGCACAAGCGGAGGAGCAUGUGGUUUAAUUCGAUGAUACGCGAGGAACCUUACCUGGGCUCGAACGUAAGAUGACUGUAGGUGAAAGCUUACAUCUCUUCGGAGCAUUUUACGAGGUGCUGCAUGGUUGUCGUCAGCUCGUGCCGUGAGGUGUCGGGUUAAGUCCCGUAACGAGCGCAACCCUUGUCCUUAGUUACCAGCACGUUAUGGUGGGCACUCUAAGGAGACUGCCGGUGACAAACCGGAGGAAGGUGGGGAUGACGUCAAGUCAUCAUGGCCCUUACGGCCUGGGCUACACACGUGCUACAAUGGUCGGUACAAAGGGUUGCCAAGCCGCGAGGUGGAGCUAAUCCCAUAAAACCGAUCGUAGUCCGGAUCGCAGUCUGCAACUCGACUGCGUGAAGUCGGAAUCGCUAGUAAUCGUGAAUCAGAAUGUCACGGUGAAUACGUUCCCGGGCCUU
This 506-nucleotide ribosomal RNA is filed under the name uncultured Pseudomonas sp. RNAcentral's name for it is "bacterial SSU rRNA". It matches the Rfam family "Bacterial small subunit ribosomal RNA", at positions 903 to 1382 of the family's 1533-position model. The record is from RNAcentral. Lineage: Bacteria; Pseudomonadati; Pseudomonadota; Gammaproteobacteria; Pseudomonadales; Pseudomonadaceae.